UGAUGGCAGUGAUGAUUUGUGUAUUGUUGCUUUCCUGAUGUACAGACCUGAGGGUGCACAGUCACUACCUCAUCUGAGCCAUCU
This 84-nucleotide small nucleolar RNA is filed under the name Leptosomus discolor (cuckoo roller). RNAcentral describes it as "Small nucleolar RNA SNORD11B". It matches the Rfam family "Small nucleolar RNA SNORD11B". Lineage: Eukaryota; Metazoa; Chordata; Aves; Leptosomiformes; Leptosomidae. The record is from Rfam by way of RNAcentral.